RNAcentral lists this ribosomal RNA (253 nucleotides) under uncultured bacterium. RNAcentral describes it as "partial 16S ribosomal RNA". It matches the Rfam family "Bacterial small subunit ribosomal RNA", at positions 524 to 776 of the family's 1533-position model. The record is from RNAcentral.
UACGGGGGGGGCAAGCGUUGUUCGGAAUUACUGGGCGUAAAGGGCUCGUAGGCGGCCAACUAAGUCAGACGUGAAAUCCCCAGGCUCAACCUGGGAACUGCGUCUGAUACUGGAUGGCUUGAAUUCGGGAGAGGGAUGCAGAAUUCCAGGUGUAGCGGUGAAAUGCGUAGAUAUCUGGAGGAACACCGGUGGCGAAGGCGGCAUCCUGGACCAACACUGACACUGAUGAGCGAAAGCCAGGGGAGCAAACGGG